UCCCAGACUCCUACGGGAGGCAGCAGUGGGGAAUAUUGCACAAUGGGGGAAACCCUGAUGCAGCGACGCCGCGUGAGUGAAGAAGUAUUUCGGUAUGUAAAGCUCUAUCAGCAGGGAGGAAAAUGACGGUACCUGACUAAGAAGCCCCGGCUAACUACGUGCCAGCAGCCGCGGUAAUACGUAGGGGGCAAGCGUUAUCCGGAUUUACUGGGUGUAAAGGGAGCGUAGACGGCCAGACAAGUCAGAAGUGAAAGCCCAGGGCUCAACCCUGGGACUGCUUUUGAAACUGCCGGGCUGGAGUGCAGGAGAGGUAAGCGGAAUUCCUAGUGUAGCGGUGAAAUGCGUAGAUAUUAGGAGGAACACCAGUGGCGAAGGCGGCCUGCUGGACAGUAACUGACGUUGAGGCUCGAAAGCGUGGGGAGCAAACAGGAUUAGAUACCCCUGUAA
Molecule: ribosomal RNA, 447 nt
Filed under: uncultured bacterium
Lineage: Bacteria
Description: bacterial SSU rRNA
Rfam family: Bacterial small subunit ribosomal RNA
Source: RNAcentral